AUUGAACGCUGGCGGCAGGCCUAACACAUGCAAGUCGAACGAGCGGCGGACGGGUGAGUAAUGUCUGGGAAACUGCCUGAUGGAGGGGGAUAACUACUGGAAACGGUAGCUAAUACCGCAUACUAUCGGAUGUGCCCAUAUGGGAUUAGCUAGUAGGUGGGGUAAAGGCUCACCUAGGCGACGCUCUCUAGCUGGUCUGAGAGGAUGAUCAGCCAAACUGGAACUGAGACACGGGCCAGACGCCGACGGGAGGCAGCAGUGGGGAAUAUUGCACAAUGGGCGCAAGCCUGAUGCAGCCAUGCCGCGUGUAUGAAGAAGGCCUUCGGGUUGUAAAGUACUUUCAGCGGGGAGGCGUUACCCGCAGAAGAAGCACCGGCUAACUCCGUGCCAGCAGCCGCGGUAAUAC
This 406-nucleotide ribosomal RNA is filed under the name uncultured bacterium. RNAcentral's name for it is "partial 16S ribosomal RNA". It matches the Rfam family "Bacterial small subunit ribosomal RNA", at positions 30 to 526 of the family's 1533-position model. The record is from RNAcentral.